CUUUUCUUUUUUUUUAGACAGAGUCUCACUCUGCCACCCAGGCUGGAGUGCAGUGGUGCAUCUUGGCUUACUGCAACCUCCGCCUCCUGAGUUCAAGCGAUUCUCCAGCCUCAGCCUCCCCAGUAGCUGGGACUACAGGUGCACACCAUCAAGUCCGGAAUGAAAACAGAAGACUUGCUGAUCUUGUGUAUAAAGCACCUGAAACAGUGUAUGACACAUAGGUGCUUCAAUAUCUACUUUUGAACAAUUAAUUAAAAUCAAUCAUUAAAAAUAUAAUGAAAGAUUCUCAAAACCUCUACACUAAAAACACCUUUGUGAGACAGAAUAAACAUUUGUGUAAAAAGAGAGAUACACUAUGUUCACUGAUGAGAAGACUCUACAUUUUUAAGAUGUUGACUGUCCCCAAAUUGAUUCAUAGGUUCAGCAUAGUCCAGUCAAAAUCCAAGCAAGCUUUUUAUAUAGAAAUUGACAACCUAAUUUUACAAUUUACAUGAAAAUGCAAAAGAUAUGUAAUAGUAAAACAAUUUGGAAAAAAAUAAAGUUGGUGGACUUAUG
This 555-nucleotide long non-coding RNA is filed under the name Homo sapiens (human). RNAcentral describes it as "HSALNT0335343". Lineage: Eukaryota; Metazoa; Chordata; Mammalia; Primates; Hominidae. The record is from RNAcentral.